Non-coding RNA from Pangasianodon gigas (Mekong giant catfish), 73 nucleotides. The record is from the annotation of a GenBank genome assembly. Lineage: Eukaryota; Metazoa; Chordata; Actinopteri; Siluriformes; Pangasiidae.
UUUCGUUUGUUAAAUAAAUUUGUUAUAUUUUGAUUAAAUCCCUGCUUCCCUCUUUUUUUGUCAUAAUCUUUGA